Molecule: unclassified non-coding RNA, 202 nt
Filed under: Sakaguchia lamellibrachiae
Lineage: Eukaryota; Fungi; Basidiomycota; Cystobasidiomycetes; Sakaguchiales; Sakaguchiaceae
Description: partial internal transcribed spacer region
Rfam family: Eukaryotic small subunit ribosomal RNA (bases 1-46)
Source: RNAcentral
AAGUCGUAAUAAGGUUUCCGUAGGUGAACCUGCGGAAGGAUCAUUAGUGAAAUGCGAGGUCCGACCCAAUUCAUUUUCUCACACUGUGCACACUACUACUUUUUUACACCAUUUUUAACACUUAAAGUCUAGGAAUGUAAAAGUCUCUUAAUUGAGCAUAAAAUUGAAACAAAACUUUCAGCAACGGAUCUCUUGGCUCUCC